UGCUUGAUGAUGUAAGUGUUCUAUUGUUCUUCCAUCAAUUUGCAUAUGUGCAUUCGAGUGAGCGUGCAUCAGUGCAUCUUGCACUCUUGUGUUUAUGCACUUAUGUUCAGUAAAUGCAUGUCAAUCAUGUUCAUGUAGCACACAUAUAUGUAUGUUGGUACAUUUAGUCACCUGUAGACACCCCCUUGAAUUGUAUCAUUAUUUUUUUGGUUUAUUGAGUGUGGUACUAGCUCCUGUGUUUUUUGAAGUAUAUUUUAACCCAAAGCUUAGUUGAAAUGUCUAUCCACCAACAGAUCUUUUGGCCCCUCGCCUCUUUUGUUUGAACAUGAAAUUGUAGCUGUAUUAGUGUGUGUAGUGAUAUCAUAGAGGGAGAAUAUUUCAGCAGAGGUGUAUUCAUCCUUUUUUCUCUUAAGUCUUUUAAUUAUAUCCCCUUUUAAAGUUAAUGUUGUUCAAAAUGGUGACUUGCUACUUCCUAUCAUGGUUCUGUUGGUACAGUGUGACAUUAGUAUUGUUUGAUUUUCUUAGAUUUGUGAUUGUACUAGUUUGUUGUGUAUGCUCCUUAAUUUAUUUUCUAGUUUUCAGAGAUCAAGUACGGUUAGAGAAUAUGUAGGCAAAGGCCAUUACGAAUAUAUAAAAGGCAGUUGUGAUUUGUGAAACAGAUUAGGAGGCAGUUGUGAUUUGUGAAACAUAUUAGCUAACCGGAUCCAAAUAAUUAAUUGAUACUAUGAUCCUGUUCUUGAAUAAAACUCAAAAAAGUAUUUGGAUGGCUAUUUUGAGAUUGAAGUUUUCAAGAAUGUAUUUGGUCUUAUUACUUGAAAUAAUAAUUUUUUUCAAAAUGGCAGGACAACUUGUCUUUCCCCCUUAUUUGUCAGGACUGGAACGCAGAUGAGGAAAUACUUCUUCUUGAGGGUAUAGAAAUGUAUGGGUUGGGAAACUGGGCUGAACUGGCUGAGCAUGUUGAUACGAAGAAUAAAGAAACAAUGCAUCAACCAUUAUACCGCCUUGUACAUGAAUUCUCCAAGCUAUCCUCUUCCGGAUAUGUCUCGCGUUAAUGGAAAAAAUAGAAAGGAACUUCUUGCUAUGGCUAAAGCACAGGGCGAGGGCAAGAAAGAAAGGCGCAUACACACUUUGCCUUGGACUCCUCAACAAAUUUGGCCAUCUCCAGAUUGAAGCUCUGAAGGAGGUAUUUUUGAUGGCUGCAGGCAUCUCCUAACAACAGAUUUCAAAAAUCUGUCAUGGUCCGUGGGGAUGUGAGGCUUAACAUUUCUUUGCUUGCAACUUUUUCUUACCUCAGCACGCGUAGAGGUUUUGCCUUAAGAUUAAUCAAGCAAGGGUUUAGGGUUGAACAAGUGAUUGCUAGUCAAGGGACUGAUGAAGAGAGAGUUGGAUCACAUGAGCUGUUGUGGUUGCUAGUAAAUUUUUUUUUUUGUAUUCACUCCUGUAUAUUUUAAGUCUUUGUAUUAGCCACUGAGAACUGGUUGUAUUCAUUUAACUCUAUAUAUGUUGAAGCAUCAAUUUUGACAUUGUUUAUGUAUUAUUUAAUAAUAAAAAUGAUUUUUUU
Long non-coding RNA from Dendrobium catenatum, 1561 nucleotides. RefSeq lists it as uncharacterized. The record is from RefSeq and is a predicted model, not a curated record. The transcript is spliced from 6 exons. NCBI's taxonomy places the organism in Eukaryota, Viridiplantae, Streptophyta, Magnoliopsida, Asparagales, Orchidaceae.